Molecule: ribosomal RNA, 347 nt
Filed under: uncultured Geobacillus sp.
Lineage: Bacteria; Bacillati; Bacillota; Bacilli; Caryophanales; Anoxybacillaceae
Description: bacterial SSU rRNA
Rfam family: Bacterial small subunit ribosomal RNA
Source: RNAcentral
GGGUGACAGGUGGUGCAUGGUUGUCGUCAGCUCGUGUCGUGAGAUGUGGGUUAAGUCCCGCAACGAGCGCAACCCUCGCCUCAGUUGCCAGCAUCGGUUGGGCACUCUAGAGGGACUGCCGGCGACAAGUCGGAGGAAGUGGGAUGACGUCAAAUCAUCAUGCCCCUUAUGACCUGGGCUACACACGUGCUACAAUGGGCGGUACAAAGGGCUGCGAACCCGCGAGGGGGAGCGAAUCCCAAAAAGCCGCUCUCAGUUCGGAUUGCAGGCUGCAACUCGCCUGCAUGAAGCCGGAAUCGCUAGUAAUCGCGGAUCAGCAUGCCGCGGUGAAUACGUUCCCGGGCCUU